GAGUUUGAUUCUGGCUCAGGGUGAACGCUAGCGGUGCGCCUAACACAUGCAAGUCGAGCGGGAGUAUUUUGUAGCUUGCUACAGGAUAUGAGAGCGGCGAACGGGUGAGUAACACGUUGGAAUCUGCCCCUAAGUCAGGGAUAGCCCAGGGAAACCUGGAUUAAUACCGGAUAGUCUCUUUGGAGUAAAAAUUUAUUGCUUAGGGAAGAGCCUGCGUACUAUCAGCUAGUUGGUGAGGUAAAAGCUUACCAAGGCAAUGACGGUUAACUGGUCUGAGAGGAUGAUCAGUCACAAUGGAACUGAGACACGGUCCAUACUCCUACGGGAGGCAGCAGUGAGGAAUCUUCCACAAUGGACGAAAGUCUGAUGGAGCGACACCGCGUGAAGGAUGAAGGCCUAAACGGUUGUAAACUUCUUUUCUGAAGGAGCAUAAU
This 434-nucleotide ribosomal RNA is filed under the name Gracilibacteria bacterium canine oral taxon 323. Its description in RNAcentral is "bacterial SSU rRNA". It matches the Rfam family "Bacterial small subunit ribosomal RNA", at positions 9 to 452 of the family's 1533-position model. The record is from RNAcentral. Lineage: Bacteria; Candidatus Altimarinota.